UUUUUGUUUUGAAGGAUUAUUUUAAUGUUUAUGGUUGUUUAAAUGAUGAUUUCAAGGGUAUUUUGAUGUUAUUUUAUGUUUACAUUGACCUCGAUAGACCAUAUGAUGGUAUAAUGAAUGUAAUUACAAUAUAUUUAACAUAGAUAAUGGAUAUUUCUGAUCUUGAAAAUACAUAUAUAAAAUUGAUUUGAACUACAAUAUAUGUACCGACAUCUAGUUCUCCGUGGAGUGUCUAUGCCACUCAUAUAUAUUGGGUUCUUAAUCACAGUUGAAGCCCGGGAUCUGACUCCAACCUAGAUACUUUGCCCAUCCCUCCAUGCCAUAAUCCAAACCUUCUAGAUAGCCACCCUAAUACUAAUCCCCUAUCUGAUAUUGGGCUAGCCAUCCUAUCUCAGGGAAGAUCACAGCAGCGAAAUUUGAGCCAUAAUCUAACUAAGACUAUGGAGGGCAGUAGUUGCUCGAAAUAUGAUGUUAGAUAAGUAAUAUCCAUAUUGAUCAUACCCUAGUUGUGCAGAAUAAGAUCCAAUAUACCAUGCAGAUCCAAACAUACCUAGGGAAUCUACUCCGCAUGCUAGAUCAUCUAAUAGUAACAUCGUGUCUUGAACCACCUCGAGGGACCCAUCUUUUAUAUGCUACCAUAACCUCAUGGGCUCUACAUCGUACAUCAUAGUCUUUAUUCAAUGUGGCAUAAGUGAACUGCGAUUCAUUGAUGAGUUGACUAAAAUCAUAAGGACAUUUCCUACAAGCAGCCACAUCGGAAAAACCACCAUCUACAUAAUGCUUCAAUCUCAUCAUCCCUCCCCCUCCACUUUGCAUUGGUUUAUUUGCACCACCAGUGGUACCAACUCAUGAAUGUCAAUCUCCUUUUCUAUCUUCCUUUUUGGAUCCCUUUCUGCAAGUUUGACGAACACACAUCAUAAACCAUCUCAUUGACUACCAUAAAUUAUGUAAAGUGAAUAUAAACUUUUUUAAAGAGUAAAUAAAUUUUAUAUUUUUAGAAAAAUUAAGAAUUUUGUAAUUUAAUUUCACUUCAAGUAUGUAAUAAUUUAUAAUAUUAUGUAAAGCUAAGCUCAUUUUCCUAGAAAAUAUACCCCAGUCACCAAUAUAUUACCAUAAUUUUCAUGAUUGUUAGAUGAAUUAAUAAUUUUUAAUUAAU
Molecule: long non-coding RNA, 1156 nt
Filed under: Phoenix dactylifera (date palm)
Lineage: Eukaryota; Viridiplantae; Streptophyta; Magnoliopsida; Arecales; Arecaceae
Description: long non-coding RNA (PDAC_LNC002740)
Source: RNAcentral